RNAcentral lists this unclassified non-coding RNA (240 nucleotides) under plant metagenome. RNAcentral's name for it is "partial contains small subunit ribosomal RNA, internal transcribed spacer 1, and 5.8S ribosomal RNA". The record is from RNAcentral.
UUUCCGUAGGUGAACCUGCGGAAGGAUCAUUAUUGAAUGAAACACUUCUGGCUUUAUGCUGUUGUGCUGGCCCUUUGGGCAAUGUGCACACGGCUCUGACACUUGUUUCUUCUGUUCCACCUGUGCACUGCCUGUAGACACGCUGUGUCUAUGAUAUUUGUUAACACACAACAAUGUUAGUUGGCAUGUUAUAUAUAAUAAUAAAAUAUACAACUUUCAACAACGGAUCUCUUGGCUCUC